Molecule: ribosomal RNA, 446 nt
Filed under: uncultured bacterium
Lineage: Bacteria
Description: bacterial SSU rRNA
Rfam family: Bacterial small subunit ribosomal RNA
Source: RNAcentral
CCAGACUCCUACGGGAGGCAGCAGUGGGGAAUAUUGGGCAAUGGGCGCAAGCCUUACCCAGCAAUACCGCGUGAGUGAAGAAGGUCUUCGGAUUGUAAAGCUCUUUGAUCAGGGACGAACAGAUGACGGUACCUGAAGAACAAGCUCCGGCUAACUACGUGCCAGCAGCCGCGGUAAUACGUAGGGAGCAAGCGUUGUCCGGAAUUACUGGGCGUAAAGGGCGCGUAGGUGGGCGCUUAAGUCAGGUGUGAAAACUCCGGGCUCAACCUGGAGACUGCACUUGAAACUGGGUGUCUUGAGGGCAGGAGAGGAAAGUGGAAUUCCUAGUGUAGCGGUGAAAUGCGUAGAUAUUAGGAGGAACACCAGUGGCGAAGGCGACUUUCUGGACUGUACCUGACGCUGAGGCGCGAAAGCGUGGGUAGCGAACGGGAUUAGAUACCCCAGUA